AGUGAUUAAGAGCUUGGCUGCUAACCAACAGGUUGGUGGUUCGAAUCCACCAGCCACUC
RNAcentral lists this transfer RNA (59 nucleotides) under Loxodonta africana (African savanna elephant). It matches the Rfam family "tRNA", at positions 14 to 71 of the family's 71-position model. Rfam says of the family: Transfer RNA (tRNA) molecules are approximately 80 nucleotides in length. The record is from Rfam by way of RNAcentral. Lineage: Eukaryota; Metazoa; Chordata; Mammalia; Proboscidea; Elephantidae.